Molecule: transfer RNA, 57 nt
Filed under: Bos taurus (domestic cattle)
Lineage: Eukaryota; Metazoa; Chordata; Mammalia; Artiodactyla; Bovidae
Also listed under: 5 other names
Rfam family: tRNA
About the family: Transfer RNA (tRNA) molecules are approximately 80 nucleotides in length. Their secondary structure includes four short double-helical elements and three loops (D, anti-codon, and T loops). Further hydrogen bonds mediate the characteristic L-shaped molecular structure. tRNAs have two regions of fundamental functional importance: the anti-codon, which is responsible for specific mRNA codon recognition, and the 3' end, to which the tRNAs corresponding amino acid is attached (by aminoacyl-tRNA synthetases). tRNAs cope with the degeneracy of the genetic code in two manners: having more than one tRNA (with a specific anti-codon) for a particular amino acid; and 'wobble' base-pairing, i.e. permitting non-standard base-pairing at the 3rd anti-codon position.
Source: Rfam by way of RNAcentral
UGGCUUAGAUGGUAAAGCAUCUACCUGUAAUGCAGGAGAUCCAGGUUCAACCCCUGG